This 229-nucleotide ribosomal RNA is filed under the name uncultured bacterium. RNAcentral's name for it is "partial 16S ribosomal RNA". It matches the Rfam family "Bacterial small subunit ribosomal RNA", at positions 568 to 796 of the family's 1533-position model. The record is from RNAcentral.
UACGUAGGCGGAAAAUUAAGUCAGUAGUGAAAUCCCGCAGCUUAACUGUGGAACUGUUAUUGAUACUGGUUUUCUUGAAUAUAGUUGAGGUAGGCGGAUUGUGUAAUGUAGCGGUGAAAUGCUUAGAUAUUACACAGAACACCGAUUGCGAAGGCAGCUUACUAAGCUAUGAUUGACGCUGAGGUACGAAAGCGUGGGGAGCGAACAGGAUUAGAUACCCUGGUAGUCC